Long non-coding RNA from Rhineura floridana, 833 nucleotides. RefSeq lists it as uncharacterized. Lineage: Eukaryota; Metazoa; Chordata; Lepidosauria; Squamata; Rhineuridae. The transcript has 4 exons. The record is from RefSeq and is a predicted model, not a curated record.
UUCACCCUUAUAAUGCACUGAUUCAGGGCUUUGUACUGACUGCCAUCAACAGUGGAGAGGGGUGUUCAUUGAAGCUUAACCACUCCCUACCAUGAAGACUGCAGAGUGUGUGUAGGACUGCAGUGUAACAACUUUUACUUUUCAUGACACAGAAGGAAGGAACACAGUUCUAUUCAGUAUCUAUUAGUCCUUGCUCCUGGAAACAUUCUGGGCUCUUAGGGCAAGGAUCUGCUUGCAUUGAUGAGAGAGGCUUGAGCUAGUCCAGUUGAAGGUUAGCAGGCACAUUUGUUCUAGAAAUGUAUGAAUUACAAAAGGGAAAAUGGAAAUGAACAGCCUUCAAGUUGAUCCUGACUUAUGACGACCCUAUGAACAGGAUUGUCACGGUGGCAUCCUGGAGCAGUUUCCUGUUUGGAGCACCCAGCUCAUCCCAUUCCCUUCAUUCUGUGGCAAAGAAUCAGGCUCUCAAGCUCAGUAGUGCAUCCUCGCUUACAUCCUCAGUGCCUGGAGAGUGGCAAUGACUGGUGAAGCAACCAAGGGAACCGGAGGAUCAAGAGGAGAGGGGAAAGAGAUGGGUCCUUCUCAAACGUGUGCUGGUGCCAGGGAGUGCAGCAACACAGCAGCAGCCUGACCAAGGGAACGAGAAGGAAGACAGAGAAGAGCUGAGGUUCAUUCAUGCUGAUAAGACUCACACAGUAUUCCCUCCCAGCAAACAGUAGUAAAAAGUGUUUUUGAGCAAACUACCAGAGUCUAAAGGUAGGAAGCUGUGAUAAUGACCUAUGUGCCUUAACUCUUACAUGAUUUCACUCAGUCAUGGUGCAGGUUUUUGUGAGCCC